ACUCCUACGGGAGCAGCAGUGGGGAAUAUUGCACAAUGGGCGAAAGCCUGAUGCAGCAACGCCGCGUGAACGAUGAAGGUCUUCGGAUCGUAAAGUUCUGUCGCAGGGGAAGAUAAUGACGGUACCCUGUGAGGAAGCACCGGCUAACUACGUGCCAGCAGCCGCGGUAAU
RNAcentral lists this ribosomal RNA (171 nucleotides) under uncultured bacterium. RNAcentral describes it as "partial 16S ribosomal RNA". It matches the Rfam family "Bacterial small subunit ribosomal RNA", at positions 335 to 524 of the family's 1533-position model. The record is from RNAcentral.